GAGCAAGGAGGAGUCAACUUAAAACAUGGCUGACUGGGAGAAUCCCUCAACACUCAGAACAGAUUCUCUAGAGGACAAUUAUCCCCACACCCAAGGGUUCUUUUGAUGAUCGACAGUUGAGCUGGUUAUUCCUAUCAAGCUGAACAUUUAAGAUCACAAGCUUCUUGAAGACAGGAAUUGACUCACUUCUGUCUGUAUAACCCCUAUCCCUAAUGGAGAGUCAGGCAUAAAGUAGGUACUUAAUAAAUAUUUGUUGAUUGAUGAUUACGUUGUUGAU
RNAcentral lists this long non-coding RNA (277 nucleotides) under Monodelphis domestica (gray short-tailed opossum). Its description in RNAcentral is "lncRNA (ENSMODG00000047448.1)". Lineage: Eukaryota; Metazoa; Chordata; Mammalia; Didelphimorphia; Didelphidae. The record is from RNAcentral.